GUCCUACGGGACGCAGCAGUGAGGAAUAUUGGUCAAUGGGCGGGAGCCUGAACCAGCCAAGCCGCGUGAAGGAAGAAGGCGCCAGGCGUCGUAAACUUCUUUUGUCGGGGAACAAAGGGCGCCACGCGUGGCGUUGUGAGUGUACCCGAAGAAAAAGCAUCGGCUAACUCCGUGCCAGCAGCCGCGGUAAUACGUAGGGAGCAAGCGUUAUCCGGAAUUAUUGGGUGUAAAGGGUGCGUAGACGGGACAGCAAGUUAGUUGUGAAAGCCCUCGGCUUAACUGAGGAACUGCAACUAAAACUAUUG
RNAcentral lists this ribosomal RNA (305 nucleotides) under uncultured bacterium. Its description in RNAcentral is "bacterial SSU rRNA". It matches the Rfam family "Bacterial small subunit ribosomal RNA", at positions 335 to 638 of the family's 1533-position model. The record is from RNAcentral.